GAGUUUGAUCGUGGCUCAGAUUGAACGCUGGCGGCAUGCCUUACACAUGCAAGUCGAACGGCAGCAUGAUCUAGCUUGCUAGAUUGAUAGCGAGUGGCGAACGGGUGAGUAAGUACAUCGGAACGUGCCCUGUAGUGGGGGAUAACUAGUCGAAAGAUUAGCUAAUACCGCAUACGACCUGAGGGUGAAAGUGGGGGACCGCAGGGCCUCAUGCUAUAGGAGCGGCCGAUGUCUGAUUAGCUAGUUGGUGGGUAAAGGCCCACCAAGGCGACGAUCAGUAGCUGGUCUGAGAGGACGAUCAGCCACACUGGGACUGAGACACGGCCCAGACUCC
RNAcentral lists this ribosomal RNA (334 nucleotides) under uncultured microorganism. Its description in RNAcentral is "bacterial SSU rRNA". It matches the Rfam family "Bacterial small subunit ribosomal RNA", at positions 9 to 339 of the family's 1533-position model. The record is from RNAcentral.